Molecule: ribosomal RNA, 465 nt
Filed under: uncultured bacterium
Lineage: Bacteria
Description: bacterial SSU rRNA
Rfam family: Bacterial small subunit ribosomal RNA
Source: RNAcentral
CCUACGGGAGGCUGCAGUGGGGAAUAUUGCACAAUGGGGGAAACCCUGAUGCAGCCAUGCCGCGUGUGUGAAGAAGGCCUUCGGGUUGUAAAGCACUUUCAGCGAGGAGGAAAGGUUAGUAGUUAAUACCUGCUAGCUGUGACGUUACUCGCAGAAGAAGCACCGGCUAACUCCGUGCCAGCAGCCGCGGUAAUACGGAGGGUGCGAGCGUUAAUCGGAAUUACUGGGCGUAAAGCGUGCGCAGGCGGUUUGUUAAGCGAGAUGUGAAAGCCCCGGGCUCAACCUGGGAACCGCAUUUCGAACUGGCAAACUAGAGUCUUGUAGAGGGGGGUAGAAUUCCAGGUGUAGCGGUGAAAUGCGUAGAGAUCUGGAGGAAUACCGGUGGCGAAGGCGGCCCCCUGGACAAAGACUGACGCUCAGGCACGAAAGCGUGGGGAGCAAACAGGAUUAGAUACCCAUGUAGUC